RNAcentral lists this transfer RNA (68 nucleotides) under Engaewa walpolea. Its description in RNAcentral is "tRNA-Met". The record is from RNAcentral. Lineage: Eukaryota; Metazoa; Arthropoda; Malacostraca; Decapoda; Parastacidae.
CAAAAGAUAAGCUAAAAAAGCUAAUGGACCCAUACUCCAUCGAUGAGAGUUAACCCUUUCUCUUUUUA